UCAGGACGAACGCNGGCGGCGUGCUUAACACAUGCAAGUUGAACGGGCAGAUAUGGAAGCUUGCUGAAGUAUCUGUUAGUAGCGGACGGGUGAGUAAUGCAUGAGGAGCUGUCAUAGGGAGGGGGACAACAGUUGGAAACGGCUGCUAAUACCCCGUAUGCCGGAAGGUGAAAGGGAGCGAUCCGCCCGAUGAGGUACUCAUGUCCUAUCAGCUGGUUGGUGGGGUAACGGCCUACCAAGGCGACGACGGGUAGCCGGCCUGAGAGGGUGAACGGCCACACUGGAACUGAGAUACGGUCCAGACUCCUACGGGAGGCAGCAGUGGGGAAUAUUGGGCAAUGGGGGGAACCCUGACCCAGCGACGCCGCGUGAGGGAAGACGGCCUUCGGGUUGUAAACCUCUUUUGUACGGGAAGAAGGAAGUGACGGUACUGUACGAAUAAGUCCCGGCUAACUACGUGCCAGCAGCCGCGGUAAUACGUAGGGGACGAGCGUUGUCCGGAAUUACUGGGCGUAAAGGGCGCGUAGGCUGUGCUGCAAGUCAGCUGUGAAAUAUCUGGGCUUAACCUGGAUAUGCGGAUGAGACUGCAGUGCUGGAGUGCUGUAGAGGCAAGUGGAAUUCCCAGUGUAGCGGUGAAAUGCGUAGAUAUUGGGAAGAACACCGGUGGCGAAGGCGACUUGCUGGGCAGCAACUGACGCUGAGGCGCGAAAGCCAGGGGAGCGAACGGGAUUAGAUACCCCGGUAGUCCUGGCCGUAAACGAUGAAUGCUAGGUGUGGGUGUAGAGAUACAUUCGUGCCGGANUUAACGCGAUAAGCAUUCCGCCUGGGGAGUACGGUCGCAAGAUUGAACUC
This 852-nucleotide ribosomal RNA is filed under the name uncultured Synergistes sp. RNAcentral describes it as "bacterial SSU rRNA". It matches the Rfam family "Bacterial small subunit ribosomal RNA", at positions 24 to 902 of the family's 1533-position model. Lineage: Bacteria; Thermotogati; Synergistota; Synergistia; Synergistales; Synergistaceae. The record is from RNAcentral.